GUGUCCUAGGAUAAGCUACUUUAUUCACUGAUCCUCAAUUUUCUUAUCUGUAAAAUCUAGCUCAUGGGUGUGUUCUGAGGACCAAAUGAAUUAAAGGAUAUGAGCACCUGGGUCAAAGCAAUGAAAGGUGUGAACUAGACUGGCUUGAGGGAUGACUAGAUGGCUGGUGAAGCAGUGCUCCUGGGUGUUUCUGAAAGUUGCCAGAGACUGACCGACAUUCAAGUCAGGCGACUGAGAGAGGAAGAUGCGCCCCAAUGUGGGUGGGCACCAUCCAGUGGAUUGCCAGUAUGGCUAGAACAGGGCAGACGGUAGAAGGGUACCCAGCCUGCUGAGUCUUCUUGCUCUUCCUCUCUCCUCCUGUGCGGGAUGCUUGCUUCCUCUCCUCCUGCCUUUGAAUAUGAUGAGCCAGCCAAGUAAAACGGGCUCCUAGAGAAUCUCCAACUGACCUGUGCAAUGGGAGGAUGGGGUGGGGUCUCGGGAAGUUCCAGCCAUUUGCAGGGGGGAGGAGCCUGGCCCCUCCUGUUCCUGGGUGGUGACCUGGGAUUCAAUUGGUGAGAUGGGGGCCUGUUAACAGGAACCAUCUUGCUUUGCUGAGUUUUUUCCUUUUUUCACCCAAUAAAUUCUGCUUUU
Molecule: long non-coding RNA, 630 nt
Filed under: Homo sapiens (human)
Lineage: Eukaryota; Metazoa; Chordata; Mammalia; Primates; Hominidae
Description: non-protein coding lnc-COL4A4-1:2
Source: RNAcentral